AUGCAGAGCAAAUCCCCAAAAAUUAGUCUCAGUUCAGAUUGCAGGCUGAAACUCGCCUGCAUGAAGUCGGAAUUGCUAGUAAUCGCAGAUCAGCAUGCUGCGGUGAAUACGUUCCCGGGCCUUGUACACACCGCCCGUCACACCAUGGGAGUCGGUAACACCCGAAGCCUGUAGUCUAACCGCAAGGAGGACGCAGUCGAAGGUGGGAUUGAUGACUGGGGUGAAGUCGUAACAAGGUACC
Molecule: ribosomal RNA, 241 nt
Filed under: uncultured bacterium
Lineage: Bacteria
Description: partial 16S ribosomal RNA
Rfam family: Bacterial small subunit ribosomal RNA
Source: RNAcentral